UUAGGUUCUUUGUUCCUAGACCUUGCAACCCUAAACAUAAUGUAUAUUCAAGGAUACAAUAAUAUGCACCUCUCCUUAUUUAGAAUAUUUCUGCUUAAUAGCAGUCUGCAGGUCACAGAUACACAUAAAUAAAGAUGUAGAGUUUUUCUUGAAGUAGUUGCUUCAACAUUUAUGAUGCAAAAAAUUAAGUCUACUGAGGGAAUAUGAAACGAAUGUUCGCUGGAAGGAAAAUAACCGUGCCGAUGAAGUGUGGAAUUCAAGGAAUGCAAUAAGAAUCGAAAGCAACUGAUCAUAAAUCACUGUUUCGUACGAACGUGUAAUCUGCUAGAACUUCAACGAGAUUACACAGGGGGCUAAUAAAUGACGACUUAAAAAACACUCGAUUUGUUUCCUUAAUUUAAGUUAGAAAUCAGAAAAUUGCAAGAAAUUCCUGUUAAAUUUAUUUUAGAAAGUUCUCUAUCAUUGAGCACAGAAAAAUUACAAACUAUGGAAACAAAAACUUCGUAUCUUUAAAUGGAAAUAAUAAGAACAACUGAUCUGAUAACUGUACUGGCCAUCCAUUAACAGUUGGUAUAUUAGAAAGAGGGUAAGAUUAUUUACUAUGAAUAUAAUAAAUCAAAUACAGCAAUGUAAAAUGUAAAAUACAUAUUGUUCCUGGUUGGCCAUUAAACACAGUAGCCAAAGAAAAAUAUCCAGAAUUUUGUAAUAAAACAAUAUUAGAUUAAAAAGUAUAUUAAUCUUCAAUCAUCAGUUGGCACGUACUAAUCUAUACCAUCUAAAAUAUAUUCAAUCUUAGUUGGUA
Molecule: long non-coding RNA, 802 nt
Organism: Bombus pascuorum
Lineage: Eukaryota; Metazoa; Arthropoda; Insecta; Hymenoptera; Apidae
Exons: 2
Source: RefSeq, a predicted model, not a curated record